Molecule: long non-coding RNA, 3824 nt
Filed under: Salmo salar (Atlantic salmon)
Lineage: Eukaryota; Metazoa; Chordata; Actinopteri; Salmoniformes; Salmonidae
Description: lncRNA (ENSSSAG00000094236.1)
Source: RNAcentral
AUUGUCAAAUGAGGGUGAACCACAAAGUGGAAGUAUUUUCUUAGCUCGUGAGAUUUGCCACGAGGACGGGACUAUAGGGAGAUUGGACUCAAAUUGAGAAAGGCCCUAACAUGGCAUUGGUCUUCAGCUUGUCCACUCAUGUUUCUCCUCAUCACUGGGAUGGAGACAUCCAAAAGUCUAAACCAGCGCUCAGAGUUGAAGCAGGUCAUCCAGGUGGAAUCUGGGAAGGAUGCAGUCCUAGACUGCUCUGUGAAGUUCAGUGAGGAAUCCCCUGGUAAUGUAAACAUAAAGCAGGUUGUGGAGGCUGGACCAGAAUGGUCAUUACAAAGGUGAACCUGUGUUCACAUAUAUAUAUACAAUCCUCCAAUCCCAGGAUGCUGCUGAGCCCAAAAUAUCAGCUUUCCAUGCCACCUGCCAAUGAGAGACAAAGUUGUGUCCCUGUUGGUUAAAGAAACCCAGCCUGAAGAAGAGGGUCCGUAUGAGUGUGUGGUGAACACUGACAGUGGAAACACAAAUUGUAACUUCAUGCUGAAGGUCACAGGUGAGCUCAAAGCUUUUGGAGGCCAAUGUUUAUAGGUAGGGCCCUGAGUAUUUCCCAGUCAGGAAAAACUAAGGGCUUAACACAUAGUUUGGAAUUCAAAGUGCCUUCCUCACACUCUAACACUGACUGUUUAGUAUUCUCCUUUUUGCAUCAUGAUUUCCACUGUGCAGAUGAUCCAUCAAGAAAUCUUGCUUUUCUGACAUUAUCAUCUAUUAGUAUCCAAUAUAAAUUGACUCACCCUACAAACAUGACUUAAUUCAUUGCAUCCCUGAUCGCAUACCUGAAUGUGACAUGAUUUUCAUUUUUAAUGAUUCUGAUUUUGUGUGUUACAGUAUGAGACCAGCACCAGGUUCCUGAGAAUGCUGCAAAUCAAAAGGAAAUUCCAAAGAACAGUUACAAGAAUGUGACUGCUGUAUUUGUGGUAGUAGGCUCUCUUGCCAUUGGACUGCUGCUUCUCAAGCUGUUUCAAGCCAGAAGACUCAGACAACAUGAGCACCCAGGGUCAUGUCCAUUAGGACACACUGUUGCAAAAUGCUUCAAGAAGUUAUUCAGAUAGUUCCUCCCCAUUUCAGACUGCUUCUUUCCAUUUCGUGCCUAGUGAACACGACCUUGCAUUUGACAAUCUCUGCCGAGAGGAAUGCAGAGGUCUGGGAAGAUUAGGAGAGUACUUUCUGUUCUGGCUAAAUGCCAGGAUGUUGCUAUAUAAGUGGAAUGGAGAACUAACUCCUCGACAAGAUCACUUAGUUUAGUUUUUAUUGUUUUAGUUUCUCUAUUGCUCUCCUUCUCCUCCCCAGAUGGGAAUUCAGGAUUUGUUAUUCAAUUGUCUCUGUAACAAAUCACAAAACAUGGUAGAGCACACAGUAUCAACCCCUGUAAAAGGUUGCUUCUGGUUUCUCUUUCCAGAUGAACCAGUGGCACAGGAAGACUCUUUUGUGGCAGAAUGUUUGAGUAUAUUAUUUUUGUCUACCUAAUCGAAGAGGGAUUCCUGUCAAAACGAUCAAAUUCAUAGUAAAAUGCAGUGUAUAAAAUGUGUGUGGUAAAAUGGUGUAUAACAGUGUUGGUAUUCCUAUUGUCCCCUAUGGAACCAGAGCCUGAGGAUACAGCAGUCCCAGCAGAGCACGACUCCAGCACCAGGACAGGACUGUUUCCGUAGCGACAGAUGUAUUAUCCGGAGUGUUAUGGGCUCUCUUCCCUGUCGGUGUCAUGUCUGCUCUGUCUCUCACGCCACACAGCUAACUGAAUGUUAAUGCUUUGCCUGGAAGAGAGAACAAUCUGGUUCAACACUAUUGUGUUCCCCCUCUGCAGGAGAAAUGGAGUGCAUGCAUUAUCCUGCUACCAAGCUAAGUGUUAACAGCAUUGUCUGUAGUUGUUAACCACACCAGACUAUUCUUUCAUAUAUUGUGACUAAAACCUGAUGUUAGAGUUCAGUGUGUCAUCGGGAUCUCUGUUGAAAAGUUUGUUUCUGUUGGAGAGUCUGUCCUCUCUGUCUCUGUCCUCUCUGUCUCUCUCUCUGUUGUGGUUAGAAUGGAUAGUUCAGAGUAACAUUCAUUCAUGACGUUAUAGAUUAGCUGUUUUGGCGGUUGUCGGUCUUCGCGUUCAAUGAUACCGAAUUCCUAGCUGCAGACUAGUAAUUAAUAUCAAAGACUUGUUCUUAUUCUGUCGGUAUCGAUAGUCUAAGAGUUUAACCACAUGGUAUGGUUAAAAGUUCAGCAAGAGAAAUGCAUGGUCUGCAACCUUUAGCCAUCUCGUAAUUGAGGUAAGCUUGGCCUCCUCUCAAACCUUGCCCCUCAUUAUCAAGGUAAGCUGGUCUCGUCUCAAACCUUAGCCCUCUCGUUAUCGAGGUAAGCUGGUCUGGUGAUAGAAAACCUAGGUGGGGAUUUUAUUUAGAAGAGCAGAAAAGGGCCAGUCCCAUGACACCAGACCAUAACUGUGCUCAUGGGUGGUCCUCUGAUUAGUUAAACUCCAAAAGGGAAUUGGAGUUUCCUUCAUUAAACAGUCCAAAAUCACAUUACACAAUUUCACAAACAGUUCCAUCCUCACUCAUUCAUUUUAUACAACAAUUAGAUGUAAGCCUCAUAACUGAGGCUAUUAUAUAAACAGCGUUAUGGUAAUGUGGCCGUAUUGUCUCUCAUGAGUUUCACAAAAUUGUACCAAACGGACCAGUUCGUAGCUGGAUUCUUCACCAAUCUUUUAUACAUUCUCCAGAACAUAAAUAUUGUUCGGACCUCCAGUUCUGUGAGGUGGAAGAAAUUCCUUUGUUCUCUCUAUAAAAACUCACUCUCUAUACUGUGGCCAUGAGGAGAUAGUCUCCUCCAGGAAUUUACGACCUCUCUGAACACAGCAGCCUGGGUGUAGGAGACAGAGGGAGAUGGUGCUCGCUGUGUCCAAAGAGGGCAAUGUCAUGACACCUGAAAGGCCGCUCAGCAAGGAAGAAGCCACUGCUCCAAAACUGCUAUUAAAACUACGAUUUGCAACUGCACAUGUGGACAAAUAUCGUACUUUUUGGAGAAAUGUCCUCUAGUCUGAUGAAACAGAAAUAGAACUCUUUGGCAUUAAUGACCAUCGUUAUGUUAGGAGGAAAAAGGGAGGCUUGCAAGCGGUGCCCUGAGGCUAUUAUAUAAACAGCGUUAUGGUAAUGUGGCCGUAUUGUCUCUCAUGAGUUUCACAAAAUUGCCGCACAUUUACUGUACCGGUUCCCCCUGUAUAUAGCCUCGCUAUUGUUAUUUUACUGCUGCUGUUUGUUACUUUUAUCUAUGUUAACACGUUUUUCUUCUUAACUUCUUAAAGCAAUGUUGGUUAAGGGCUUGUAAGUAAGCAUUUCAUUGUAAGGUCUACACCUGUUGUAUUCAGCGCAUGUGACAAAUACAAUUUUGAUUUGACAACAGGGGUGGCCUAUGUUAAAAAUGUUUUAAAAAGUACAAAGCCUUUGUAAGGUGUUAAGCCUGUGAUAAAAUAUGCUUAAAAUCAUUAAAAGACAAAGUGAUUGUGUUGAAUUGUGUUUGGAAAAUAAAGAUAGACAUUGUUUUAUAAAGGUAGUGAUAAUAUUUCAUUCAGUACAGAAAUGUGUAGAAAGCUUAACUUCCACUGUCUGGAGGAUCAGCUUACCACAUACCCAGGUUAAGUUUACUGCCAUCCUCAUUUACUGCCUUUUAAAAAAAACAUAGCUGAUAUAGAAUACUUGAAUCAUUCACCUCUCAUGUCUGGGACUAGAGAAUAUGUUAUGUAGUGAACCAUUCACCUCUCAUGUCUGGGACUAGAGGAUAUGUUAUGUAGUGAACCAUUC